GCCUGGGUGGCUCAGUCGGUUGAGUUCCUGACUUCGGCUCAGGUCAUGAUCUCACAGUUCAUGGGUUCGAGUCCCGUGUCGGGCU
Molecule: transfer RNA, 85 nt
Filed under: Felis catus (domestic cat)
Lineage: Eukaryota; Metazoa; Chordata; Mammalia; Carnivora; Felidae
Also listed under: 1 other name
Rfam family: tRNA
About the family: Transfer RNA (tRNA) molecules are approximately 80 nucleotides in length. Their secondary structure includes four short double-helical elements and three loops (D, anti-codon, and T loops).
Source: Rfam by way of RNAcentral